This 468-nucleotide ribosomal RNA is filed under the name uncultured bacterium. RNAcentral's name for it is "partial 16S ribosomal RNA". It matches the Rfam family "Bacterial small subunit ribosomal RNA", at positions 28 to 507 of the family's 1533-position model. The record is from RNAcentral.
GACGAACGCUGGCGGCGUGCUUAACACAUGCAAGUCGAACGGAAAGGCCCUGCUUUUGUGGGGUGCUCGAGUGGCGAACGGGUGAGUAACACGUGAGUAACCUGCCCUUGACUUUGGGAUAACUUCAGGAAACUGGGGCUAAUACCGGAUAGGAGCUCCUGCUGCAUGGUGGGGGUUGGAAAGUUUCGGCGGUUGGGGAUGGACUCGCGGCUUAUCAGCUUGUUGGUGGGGUAGUGGCUUACCAAGGCUUUGACGGGUAGCCGGCCUGAGAGGGUGACCGGCCACAAUGGGACUGAGAGACGGACCAGACUCCUACGGGAGGCAGCAGUGGGGAAUAUUGCACAAUGGGCGGAAGCCUGAUGCAGAAACGCCGCGUGCGGGAUGACGGCCUUCGGGUUGUAAACCGCUUUCGCCUGUGACGAAGCGUGAGUGACGGUAAUGGGUAAAGAAGCACCGGCUAACUACGUG